CGGUCAGAUCACGUUGAAACAUUGGUUCUCAUACAAUCACCAAAGUUAAGCAAUGUCAAGCCUGGUCAGUACCUAGAUGGGUGACUGGUUGGGAAUACCAGGUGCUGUAAG
Acanthosepion pharaonis is the source of this 111-nucleotide non-coding RNA. The record is from the annotation of a GenBank genome assembly. NCBI's taxonomy places the organism in Eukaryota, Metazoa, Mollusca, Cephalopoda, Sepiida, Sepiidae.